Molecule: ribosomal RNA, 347 nt
Filed under: uncultured bacterium
Lineage: Bacteria
Description: bacterial SSU rRNA
Rfam family: Bacterial small subunit ribosomal RNA
Source: RNAcentral
CCUACGGGAGGCAGCAGUGAGGAAUAUUGGACAAUGGUCGAAAGACUGAUCCAGCCAUGCCGCGUGCAGGAAGACGGCCCUAUGGGUUGUAAACUGCUUUUGUUUGGGAAGAAACCUUUCUACGUGUAGAAAGCUGACGGUACCAUACGAAUAAGCACCGGCUAACUCCGUGCCAGCAGCCGCGGUAAUACGGAGGGUGCAAGCGUUAUCCGGAUUUAUUGGGUUUAAAGGGUCCGUAGGCGGACUUAUAAGUCAGUGGUGAAAUCCUGCAGCUCAACUGUAGAACUGCCAUUGAUACUGUAAGUCUUGAAUUCGGUUNAAGUGGGCGAAUAUGGCAUGUAGNGUGA